RNAcentral lists this ribosomal RNA (1188 nucleotides) under Bisbaumannia salifodinae. Its description in RNAcentral is "bacterial SSU rRNA". It matches the Rfam family "Bacterial small subunit ribosomal RNA", at positions 47 to 1234 of the family's 1533-position model. Lineage: Bacteria; Pseudomonadati; Pseudomonadota; Gammaproteobacteria; Oceanospirillales; Halomonadaceae. The record is from RNAcentral.
CUAACCACAUGCAAGUCGAGCGGAAACGAUGGAAGCUUGCUUCCAGGCGUCGAGCGGCGGACGGGUGAGUAAUGCAUAGGAAUCUGCCCGAUAGUGGGGGAUAACGUGGGGAAACUCACGCUAAUACCGCAUACGUCCUACGGGAGAAAGCAGGGGAUCUUCGGACCUUGCGCUAUCGGAUGAGCCUAUGUCGGAUUAGCUAGUUGGUGAGGUAACGGCUCACCAAGGCGACGAUCCGUAGCUGGUCUGAGAGGAUGAUCAGCCACACUGGGACUGAGACACGGCCCAGACUCCUACGGGAGGCAGCAGUGGGGAAUAUUGGACAAUGGGGGAAACCCUGAUCCAGCCAUGCCGCGUGUGUGAAGAAGGCCUUCGGGUUGUAAAGCACUUUCAGCGAGGAAGAAGGCCUGAGGGCUAAUACCCUUCAGGAAGGACAUCACUCGCAGAAGAAGCACCGGCUAACUCCGUGCCAGCAGCCGCGGUAAUACGGAGGGUGCGAGCGUUAAUCGGAAUUACUGGGCGUAAAGCGCGCGUAGGUGGCUUGAUAAGCCGGUUGUGAAAGCCCCGGGCUCAACCUGGGAACGGCAUCCGGAACUGUCAGGCUAGAGUGCAGGAGAGGAAGGUAGAAUUCCCGGUGUAGCGGUGAAAUGCGUAGAGAUCGGGAGGAAUACCAGUGGCGAAGGCGGCCUUCUGGACUGACACUGACACUGAGGUGCGAAAGCGUGGGUAGCAAACAGGAUUAGAUACCCUGGUAGUCCACGCCGUACACGAUGUCGACUAGCCGUUGGGUUCCUUGAGAACUUUGUGGCGCAGUUAACGCGAUAAGUCGACCGCCUGGGGAGUACGGCCGCAAGGUUAAAACUCAAAUGAAUUGACGGGGGCCCGCACAAGCGGUGGAGCAUGUGGUUUAAUUCGAUGCAACGCGAAGAACCUUACCUACCCUUGACAUCGUGCGAACUUGGUAGAGAUACCUUGGUGCCUUCGGGAACGCACAGACAGGUGCUGCAUGGCUGUCGUCAGCUCGUGUUGUGAAAUGUUGGGUUAAGUCCCGUAACGAGCGCAACCUUGUCCCUAUUUGCCAGCGAUUCGGUCGGGAACUCUAGGGAGACUGCCGGUGACAACCGGAGGAAGGUGGGGACGACGUCAGUCAUCUGGCCCUUACGGUAGGCUACCACGUGCUACAUGGUC